GAUGAACGCUGGCGGCGUGCCUAAUACAUGCCAGUCGAGCGAACGGACGAGAAGCUUGCUUCUCUGAUGUUAGCGGCGGACGGGUGAGUAACACGUGGAUAACCUACCUAUAAGACUGGGAUAACUUCGGGAAACCGUAGCUAAUACCGGAUAAUAUUUUGAACCGCAUGGUUCAAAAGUGAAAGACGGUCUUGCUGUCACUUAUAGAUGGAUCCGCGCUGCAUUAGAUGGUUGGUAAGGUAACGGCUUACCAAGGCAACGAUGCAUAGCCGACCUGAGAGGGUGAUCGGCCACACUGGAACUGAGACACGGUCCAGACUCCUACGGGAGGCAGCAGUAGGGAAUCUUCCGCAAUGGGCGAAAGCCUGACGGAGCAACGCCGCGUGAGUGAUGAAGGUCUUCGGAUCGUAAAACUCUGUUAUUAGGGAAGAACAUAUGUGUAAGUAACUGUGCACAUCUUGACGGUACCUAAUCAGAAAGCCACGGCUAACUACGUG
RNAcentral lists this ribosomal RNA (497 nucleotides) under uncultured bacterium. Its description in RNAcentral is "partial 16S ribosomal RNA". It matches the Rfam family "Bacterial small subunit ribosomal RNA", at positions 28 to 507 of the family's 1533-position model. The record is from RNAcentral.